AUGUUUCACUCGGGUUUGGGGUGUUUUUUUGGGGAGGGAGGGAGGGAGGGGUGGGACGACACGCAAGCACACACACAAGCUGCGUUUCCCCCGCGCUCGCUCGGCUAUCAUCACAGCGAUCCCUGGCCUCUGCGCGGAAGCACGUUUCGCCCCGUGAGGCUUUCUGACCGUCAUUAUAAAAUAUUCAUACUGUGCAUCGGCAAGGGUCUUCCAGUACAGACCUCCUACAAGGCACACUUCAGACUGUUUCAGAAGCUCACAAUUUAAAUAUGGUAAAGAUAGCCAAGGAAAAAAGAAGAAGGAAGUCCAUUUGCAGCAGAUUAAAUGAAGCCGACAAAUUGACUCUUUCUUAGUCCUGAUGCUCAAUAGUCCAAAUCUUCCCCUGUUUGUUUGUUUGGAUACUAUCAGGCAGAGGCUGAGCUGAAGCUAUAUUUACACCGAUCAGAUGGCCAGGAUGUUUAUGCUGACAGCUUGGCUGCUGCUGCUCCACGCAAAAAGAGGCUGAGUUCUGCUUUUCUUUCCCACGGUGGAAAAUUGAAUCUCUUGCUCUUUUUUUAUCCAGUCUCUAUUUUUUCCAAUUUGUGAGAACUGUUUAUCUUUGAAGCUUCAACCCCACUUUCUAACAUUGAUCAACAUUCAAAAGUUAUCAGAGGAAGAUCAGUAAGCGAGAGAAACCAGGCCAACCCCUUGCCCCAAACUGAAGACUGCCAGCAAAAUUAUUUAAAGCACAUGGAACAUCUUGUCACAAAACAUAGGAGUGGCAUCAUUCUGGAGAAGCCAAGCAUAGGGACACGGCAGAUCCUUCCUGAUACGUAGCCUGAAAAACGAUGCUAAGAGACUGAAAAUAUGAUAUAUAACAGAACAAGGAAUUAAUGAGGAUGUUCACUACAGCAGCCUAAAAGAGGAUGCAUGCAGUUAGAGGCCAAGGUAAUCAGGCAGAAGAUAGAUCUAUCUCUUGGGAUAAAUUAAAGAAAAUUUGGAAGAAGUAUCUGGAUUUCCUCCACCUGUUCUAGAGUUUUGGACAGAAACCUUCUGAGUAAAUCCAGGAUUUGAAAACCCUACUCUAAUGGAGCCAGUGAUUUAGAAAGCUCCAAGGAAUGUAACCAUCAUUACUCCCUGCCGAAAUAAAUCAACUCUGCGAGAUCGAGAAGGCA
This 1154-nucleotide long non-coding RNA is filed under the name Struthio camelus australis. RNAcentral's name for it is "lncRNA (ENSSCUG00000018388.1)". The record is from RNAcentral. Lineage: Eukaryota; Metazoa; Chordata; Aves; Struthioniformes; Struthionidae.